Molecule: ribosomal RNA, 460 nt
Filed under: uncultured bacterium
Lineage: Bacteria
Description: partial 16S ribosomal RNA
Rfam family: Bacterial small subunit ribosomal RNA
Source: RNAcentral
CCUACGGGCGGCAGCAGUGAGGAAUAUUGGUCAAUGGACGAGAGUCUGAACCAGCCAAGCAGCGUGAAGGAUGACUGCCCUCUGGGUUGUAAACUUCUUUUAUAAAGGAAUAAAACGAGGCACGUGUGCCUUUUUGCAUGUACUUUAUGAAUAAGGAUCGGCUAACUCCGUGCCAGCAGCCGCGGUAAUACGGAGGAUCCGAGCGUUAUCCGGAUUUAUUGGGUGUAAGGGGAGCGUAGAUGGGUUGUUAAGUCAGUUGUGAAAGUUUGCGGCUCAACCGUAAAAUUGCAAUUGAGACUGGCAGUCUUGAGUACAGUAGAGGUAGGCGGAAUUCGUGGUGUAGCGGUGAAAUGCUUAGAUAUCACGAAGAACACCGAUUGCGAAGGCAGCUUACUAAACUGUGACUGACAUUGAUGCUCGAAAGUGUGGGUAGCAAACAGGAUUAGAUACCCUUGUAGUC